AGAUGUGUAUAAGGGACAGGUGAGUCAUCGAAUCUUUGAACGCACAUUGCGCCCCUUGGUAUUCCGGGGGGCAUGCCUGUUCGAGCGUCAUUAUCACCCCUCAAGCUCAGCUUGGUGUUGGGGCCUGCCCGUCACAGGGCAGCCCCUAAAAGCAGUGGCGGUGCCAUCUGGCUCUACGCGUAGUAAUACUUCUCGCGACAGAGUCCCGGUGGUGUCCUGCCAGAACCCCAAAUUUUAUCACGAUUGACCUCGGAUCAGGUAGGGAUACCCGCUGAACUUAAGCAUAUCAAUAAGCGGAGG
This 300-nucleotide unclassified non-coding RNA is filed under the name uncultured Articulospora. RNAcentral describes it as "sequence contains 5.8S rRNA gene, ITS2". The stretch from base 1 to 90 matches the Rfam family "5.8S ribosomal RNA", at positions 58 to 154 of the family's 154-position model. Lineage: Eukaryota; Fungi; Ascomycota; Leotiomycetes; Helotiales; Helotiaceae. The record is from RNAcentral.